Molecule: unclassified non-coding RNA, 87 nt
Filed under: Pseudomonas migulae
Lineage: Bacteria; Pseudomonadati; Pseudomonadota; Gammaproteobacteria; Pseudomonadales; Pseudomonadaceae
Source: RNAcentral
UGUAGGAGCCGGCUUGCUGGCGAUCCAGGCAGCGCGGUUUAUCAGUUUCACCGCGUCGCCUGGAUCGCCAGCAAGCCGGCUCCCACA